UACGUAGGGUCCGAGCGUUGUCCGGAGUUACUGGGCGUAAAGGGCGCGCAGGCGGCGGUGCUGGCCCGGCGUGAAAGCCCCCGGCUCAACCGGGGAGGGUCGUCGGGGACCGCACCGCUUGAGGGCGGUAGGGGCCGGUGGAAUGCCUGGUGUAGUGGUGAAAUGCGUAGAGAUCGGGCAGAACACCUGGGGCGAAGGCGGCCGGCUGGGCCGUCCCUGACGCUGAGGCGCGAAGGCGUGGGGAGCGAACGGG
This 253-nucleotide ribosomal RNA is filed under the name uncultured bacterium. RNAcentral describes it as "partial 16S ribosomal RNA". It matches the Rfam family "Bacterial small subunit ribosomal RNA", at positions 524 to 776 of the family's 1533-position model. The record is from RNAcentral.